RNAcentral lists this ribosomal RNA (446 nucleotides) under uncultured bacterium. RNAcentral's name for it is "partial 16S ribosomal RNA". It matches the Rfam family "Bacterial small subunit ribosomal RNA", at positions 330 to 792 of the family's 1533-position model. The record is from RNAcentral.
GCCAGACUCCUACGGGAGGCAGCAGUGGGGGAUAUUGCACAAUGGGGGGAACCCUGAUGCAGCGACGCCGCGUGGGUGAAGGAGCGUUUCGGCGCGUAAAGCCCUAUUGGCAGGGAAGAAGGAGGACGGUACCUGACUAAGAAGCCCCGGCUAACUACGUGCCAGCAGCCGCGGUAAUACGUAGGGGGCAAGCGUUAUCCGGAUUUACUGGGUGUAAAGGGGGCGCAGACGGCAGCGCAAGCCAGGAGUGAAAGCCCGGGGCCCAACCCCGGGACUGCUCUUGGAACUGCGCGGCUGGAGUGCAGGAGGGGCAGGCGGAAUUCCUGGUGUAGCGGUGAAGUGCGUAGAUAUCAGGAGGAACACCGGUGGCGAAGGCGGCCUGCUGGACUGCGACUGACGUUGAGGCCCGAAAGCGUGGGGAGCAAACAGGAUUAGAUACCCCAGUA